This 106-nucleotide non-coding RNA is filed under the name unclassified sequences. RNAcentral describes it as "DUF3577 RNA". It matches the Rfam family "DUF3577 RNA". The record is from RNAcentral.
CGUAUCGGAUAUGCGUGAGCAAUCACGCGAAACUCGCCCGCAAUCCCGGCAUCACCGCGCAAGCGGUGUGGCGACUUCUUCAAAUGCUGCGCAAGGCAGCACUUCU